Molecule: long non-coding RNA, 389 nt
Organism: Myxocyprinus asiaticus (Chinese sucker)
Lineage: Eukaryota; Metazoa; Chordata; Actinopteri; Cypriniformes; Catostomidae
Exons: 3
Source: RefSeq, a predicted model, not a curated record
GAAAGAUGGCGGACAGACACAGACCAGCAGAGUGACCUCGACAAAACCUAUUGAGAAUAGAUUGGAGAAGAUUCGACGUAAUGUCAAUGCAUCAGACAAUACUGAAGCGAGGACAUGAUCUCCUCUCUGCUGAGAGAUGCACAUUGUGCUGCAACUAGUACCACUGUGCCUACUGUAAAAGGGUGUAUAACCAUUUACAUGAGGGACAAAAUCAUGUUGCAAAUCACAUUCACAUUGCAGUUCAGCAGGAAGAUUUUGUCAUCAUCAAGUGCAGUCUAGGCUACAGACAAACACCACAUUUUCACUGCUGCUACUGCACGUCAACAUUAAUCAGAUGGGAUGCUCUUAUUAAACAUUUAACAACUUGUAAAAAUACAUCAUCUGGACAG